AACGAACGCUGGCGGCAUGCCUAACACAUGCAAGUCGAACGAGACCUUCGGGUAUAGUGGCGCACGGGUGCGUAACGCGUGGGAACCUGCCCUUAGGUUCGGAAUAACUCCCCGAAAGGGGUGCUAAUACCGGAUAAUGUCUUCGGACCAAAGAUUUAUCGCCUUUGGAUGGGCCCGCGUUGGAUUAGCUAGUUGGUAGGGUAAAAGCCUACCAAGGCGACGAUCCAUAGCUGGUCUGAGAGGAUGAUCAGCCACACUGGGACUGAGACACGGCCCAGACUCCUACGGGAGGCAGCAGUGGGGAAUAUUGGACAAUGGGCGAAAGCCUGAUCCAGCAAUGCCGCGUGAGUGAUGCAGGCCUUAGGGUUGUAAAGCUCUUUUACCCGGGAUGAUAAUGACAGUACCGGGAGAAUAAGCUCCGGCUAACUCCGUG
This 433-nucleotide ribosomal RNA is filed under the name uncultured bacterium. RNAcentral's name for it is "partial 16S ribosomal RNA". It matches the Rfam family "Bacterial small subunit ribosomal RNA", at positions 29 to 507 of the family's 1533-position model. The record is from RNAcentral.